RNAcentral lists this ribosomal RNA (424 nucleotides) under Verrucomicrobiota bacterium. RNAcentral describes it as "Verrucomicrobia bacterium partial 16S ribosomal RNA". It matches the Rfam family "Bacterial small subunit ribosomal RNA", at positions 355 to 776 of the family's 1533-position model. Lineage: Bacteria; Pseudomonadati; Verrucomicrobiota. The record is from RNAcentral.
UGAGGAAUAUUGGUCAAUGGACGAGAGUCUGAACCAGCCAAGUAGCGUGCAGGAUGACGGCCCUAUGGGUUGUAAACUGCUUUUGUUUGGGAAUAAUCGACAUUACGUGUAAUGUUUUGCAUGUACCAUUCGAAUAAGGACCGGCUAAUUCCGUGCCAGCAGCCGCGGUAAUACGGAAGGUCCAGGCGUUAUCCGGAUUUAUUGGGUUUAAAGGGAGUGUAGGCCGUUUGGUAAGCGUGUUGUGAAAUGUAGGAGCUCAACUUCUAGAUUGCAGCGCGAACUGUCAGACUUGAGUGCGCACAACGUAGGCGGAAUUCAUGGUGUAGCGGUGAAAUGCUUAGAUAUCAUGAAGAACUCCGAUUGCGAAGGCAGCUUACGGGAGCGCAACUGACGCUGAAGCUCGAAGGUGCGGGUAUCGAACAGG